Molecule: long non-coding RNA, 201 nt
Filed under: Elaeis guineensis (African oil palm)
Lineage: Eukaryota; Viridiplantae; Streptophyta; Magnoliopsida; Arecales; Arecaceae
Description: long non-coding RNA (EGUI_LNC024498)
Source: RNAcentral
GAGGGUAUUGUGGGAGCUCGUCCGUUGGAGGAGUCCGGAGGGUACUGUGGAAGCUCGUCCGUUGGAGGAGUCCGGAGGAUACUGUGGAAGCUCGUCCGUUGGAGGAGUCCAGAGGGUACUGUGGAAGCUCGUCCGUUGGAGGAGUCCGGAGGGUACCGUGGAAGCUCGGACGGUCGGGGAAGUUCAGAAAGACGUCGCACA